CCAGACUCCUACGGGAGGCAGCAGUGGGGAAUAUUGCACAAUGGGGGAAACCCUGAUGCAGCGACGCCGCGUGAGUGAAGAAGUAUUUCGGUAUGUAAAGCUCUAUCAGCAGGGAAGAAAAUGACGGUACCUGACUAAGAAGCCCCGGCUAACUACGUGCCAGCAGCCGCGGUAAUACGUAGGGGGCAAGCGUUAUCCGGAUUUACUGGGUGUAAAGGGGGCGCAGACGGCAAUGCAAGCCAGGAGUGAAAGCCCGGGGCCCAACCCCGGGACUGCUCUUGGAACUGCAUGGCUGGAGUACAGGAGGGGCAGGCGGAAUUCCUAGUGUAGCGGUGAAAUGCGUAGAUAUUAGGAGGAACACCAGUGGCGAAGGCGACUUUCUGGACUGUACCUGACGCUGAGGCGCGAAAGCGUGGGUAGCGAACGGGAUUAGAUACCCUAGUA
RNAcentral lists this ribosomal RNA (444 nucleotides) under uncultured bacterium. Its description in RNAcentral is "bacterial SSU rRNA". It matches the Rfam family "Bacterial small subunit ribosomal RNA", at positions 331 to 792 of the family's 1533-position model. The record is from RNAcentral.